RNAcentral lists this ribosomal RNA (247 nucleotides) under uncultured bacterium. Its description in RNAcentral is "partial 16S ribosomal RNA". It matches the Rfam family "Bacterial small subunit ribosomal RNA", at positions 88 to 334 of the family's 1533-position model. The record is from RNAcentral.
CGGUCGACCGGCGCACGGGUAAGUAACGCGUAUCCAACCUGCCCACCACUUGGGGAGUAACCUUGCGAAAGUAAGACUAAUACCCAAUGAUAUCUCUAGAAGACAUCUGAAAGAGAUUAAAGAUUCAUCGGUGAUGGAUGGGGAUGCGUCUGAUUAGCUUGUUGGCGGGGUAACGGCCCCCCAAGGCAACGAUCAGUAGGGGUUCUGAGAGGAAGGUCCCCCACAUUGGAACUGAGACACGGUCCAA